UACAGAGACUGCGAGCGUUAUUCGGAUUCACUGGGCGUAAAGGGUGCGUAGGUGGCGCCGUAAGUCAGGUGUGAAAUCUCGGGGCUCAACCCCGAAACUGCACUUGAUACUGCGGUGCUCGAGUACUGGAGAGGAGAUUGGAAUUUACGGUGUAGCAGUGAAAUGCGUAGAUAUCGUAAGGAAGACCAGUGGCGAAGGCGAAUCUCUGGACAGUUACUGACACUGAGGCACGAAGGCCAGGGGAGCAAACGGG
Molecule: ribosomal RNA, 253 nt
Filed under: uncultured bacterium
Lineage: Bacteria
Description: partial 16S ribosomal RNA
Rfam family: Bacterial small subunit ribosomal RNA
Source: RNAcentral